AGCAUAAUCACUUGUUUCUUUAUUGGAAACUGGAAUGAAAGGAUCGACGAAGAAUAAUCUUUUUUUCUGAUAUAUUAAAUUGACAUAAAAGUCAAAAGGCUUUUAUAAACCAGGGGGACGAUAAGACCCUAUAAAACUUUACUUUUAUCGCGAAAUACCAAGAUUAAGGCCGCUUAAAAAGUUAAACUGGGGCGGUUAGCAUACAAACUAUUUUAGCUGAAAUAUAAAAAAUAGAUUUAAAUAACUCUUUAAGAAUUUAAACAAGUUACUUUAGGGAUAACAGCAUAAUCUCCCGAGAGAGCCCGCAUCGGCCGGGGAGUUUAUGACCUCGAUGUUGAAUUGAAAUUACUUCUAUAAGUAGAAAUAUAAGAAGUCAGUCUGUUCGACUGUUAAUGUUUC
Molecule: ribosomal RNA, 399 nt
Filed under: Synasellus meijersae
Lineage: Eukaryota; Metazoa; Arthropoda; Malacostraca; Isopoda; Asellidae
Description: partial 16S ribosomal RNA
Rfam family: Bacterial large subunit ribosomal RNA
Source: RNAcentral